Molecule: ribosomal RNA, 206 nt
Filed under: Klebsiella pneumoniae
Lineage: Bacteria; Pseudomonadati; Pseudomonadota; Gammaproteobacteria; Enterobacterales; Enterobacteriaceae
Description: partial 23S ribosomal RNA
Rfam family: Bacterial large subunit ribosomal RNA
Source: RNAcentral
CUUGACACUGAACAUUGAGCCUUGAUGUGUAGGAUAGGUGGGAGGCUUUGAAGCGUGGACGCCAGUCUGCGUGGAGCCGACCUUGAAAUACCACCCUUUAAUGUUUGAUGUUCUAACGUUGGCCCCUUACCGGGGUUGCGGACAGUGUCUGGUGGGUAGUUUGACUGGGGCGGUCUCCUCCCAGCGCGUAAGCGAGGAGCCGGAAG